Molecule: ribosomal RNA, 228 nt
Filed under: uncultured bacterium
Lineage: Bacteria
Description: partial 16S ribosomal RNA
Rfam family: Bacterial small subunit ribosomal RNA
Source: RNAcentral
UGCGUAGGCGGCCUAUUAAGUCAGUGGUGAAAGGUAUCAGCUUAACUGAUGACGUGCCAUUGAAACUGAUAGGCUUGAGUACAGACGAGGUAGGCGGAAUUUAUGGUGUAGCGGUGAAAUGCAUAGAUACCAUAAAGAACACCAAUUGCGAAGGCAGCUUACUAGACUGAGACUGACGCUGAGGCACGAAAGCGUGGGGAGCGAACAGGAUUAGAUACCCUGGUAGUC